This 284-nucleotide unclassified non-coding RNA is filed under the name Glomus sp. RNAcentral describes it as "partial contains 5.8S ribosomal RNA and internal transcribed spacer 2". The stretch from base 1 to 65 matches the Rfam family "5.8S ribosomal RNA", at positions 84 to 154 of the family's 154-position model. The record is from RNAcentral. Lineage: Eukaryota; Fungi; Glomeromycota; Glomeromycetes; Glomerales; Glomeraceae.
GUGAAUCAUCGAAUCUUUGAACGCAAAUUGCACUCUCUUCGGAGAGUAUGCCUGUUUGAGGGUCAGCCUAAAAAAAAAUCGACAUAGUCGCUGUUUCGCGGUGACAUUCGUCGGAAAUUGGGUCAUCUUUAACCUUUGGGUUUUAAGCGUCUCUAAAUUUUCUUUACGAUUCCACGAACGUCUCAAAGAUUUACUUUUUAUACGUUUAAGGUAAUGAUCUUUAUUAGACGUGGCCGUUUCAUAGGAUUUCGUCCAUAAAUAUUUUGUUACAUGACUCCAGACAG